This 468-nucleotide ribosomal RNA is filed under the name uncultured bacterium. Its description in RNAcentral is "partial 16S ribosomal RNA". It matches the Rfam family "Bacterial small subunit ribosomal RNA", at positions 28 to 507 of the family's 1533-position model. The record is from RNAcentral.
GACGAACGCUGGCGGCGUGCUUAACACAUGCAAGUCGAACGGCAAGGCCCUGCUUUUGUGGUGUGCUCGAGUGGCGAACGGGUGAGUAACACGUGAGUAACCUGCCCUUGACUUUGGUAUAACUUCAGGAAACUGGGGCUAAUAUCGUAUAGGAGCUCCUGUUGCAUGGUGGGGGUUGGAAAGUUUCGGCGGUAGGGGAUGGACUCGCGGCUUACCAGUUUGUUGGUGGGGUAGUGGCUUACCAAGGCUUUGACGGGUAGCCGGCCUGAGAGGGUGACCGGCGACAUUGGGACUGAGAUAGGGCCCAGACUCGUACGGGAGGCAGCAGUGGGGAAUAUUGCACAAUGGGCGGAAGCCUGAUGAAGCAACGCCGCGUGCGGGAUGACGGCCUUCGGGUUGUAAACCGCUUUCGCCUGUGACGAAGCGUGAGUGACGGUAAUGAGUAAAGAAGCACCGGCUAACUACGUG